Nannospalax galili (Upper Galilee mountains blind mole rat) is the source of this 516-nucleotide long non-coding RNA. RefSeq lists it as uncharacterized. The record is from RefSeq and is a predicted model, not a curated record. The transcript has 3 exons. NCBI's taxonomy places the organism in Eukaryota, Metazoa, Chordata, Mammalia, Rodentia, Spalacidae.
GCUGCGGGGCAGGCUAUGCAAUGAGGGCAAAGGCGAGCUGAGGACGGGACCCGGAAGAACUGGGGUGCUGAGAACCCGCAGUUGGAGGGAAACGGGGGACCAGGGAAGCGACGCGGCAGCUGAUUGGGUCGUUUGAAUGAGACGCCUGGCAUGCGCGCGCGCCCCAACGCCGAGGAAGUCGCGGACAAGAGUAACGGUCGCCCAGGGGGCGGGGCUGAGGACAGAAAGGUUGAACAUCCUUUUAUCCUGUGUUAAUUCCAGAAGGUUCUCUAGUCCAUGGCAGCCUGACUCUAAAGCAGUCAAGCAUUUCCUUUCCAACUUGAAGGUCUGCACCCCUGGGUAGGGAACUGACAGGAAUCACUUUCCUGUGUUUCCACAGCUGCUGAAGCUUGAGUUCCUGGGUAGAGACACCACCUCCCCGUUGGAGGUGAUGACACCAUGGUUAUGGUGGAUCUCAGUGGAUGAUGGCACACUGGCUCUCAUGGACCUUAGGACAUGGAGACACUGGAGUUGAAG